AUGUGGGGAUAAUUUAUCUCCGUGUUGUAGCUAACGCGUUAAGCACUCCGCCUGGGGACUACGGUCGCAAGACUAAAACUCAAAGGAAUUGACGGGGACCCGCACAAGCGGUGGAGCAUGUGGUUUAAUUCGAUGCAACGCGAAAAACCUUACCACUCCUUGACAUGGAGAUUAGAUCCUUCUUAACAGAAGGGCGCAGUUCGGCUGGAUCUCGCACAGGUGCUGCAUGGCUGUCGUCAGCUCGUGUCGUGAGAUGUUGGGUUAAGUCCCGCAACGAGCGUAACCCUCAUCCUUAGUUGCCAGCGGGUAAGCCGGGCACUUUAAGGAAACUGCCGGUGGUAAACCGGAGGAAGGUGGGGAUGAUGUCAAGUCAGCACGGCCCUUAUGGGGUGGGCUACACACGUGCUACAAUGGUGACUACAAUAGGUUGCAAUGUCGCAAGCCUGAGCUAAUCCGUAAAAGUCAUCUCAGUUCGGAUUGUCCUCUGCAACUCGAGGGCAUGAAGUCGGAAUCGCUAGUAAUCGUGGAUCAGCAUGCCACGGUGAAUACGUUCUCGGGUCUUGUACACACUGCCCGUCACGCCAUGGGAAUUGGCUUAACUCGAAGCUGGUGCGCUAACCGAAAGGA
This 627-nucleotide ribosomal RNA is filed under the name Anaplasma phagocytophilum. Its description in RNAcentral is "bacterial SSU rRNA". It matches the Rfam family "Bacterial small subunit ribosomal RNA", at positions 820 to 1447 of the family's 1533-position model. Lineage: Bacteria; Pseudomonadati; Pseudomonadota; Alphaproteobacteria; Rickettsiales; Anaplasmataceae. The record is from RNAcentral.